Microcebus murinus (gray mouse lemur) is the source of this 505-nucleotide non-coding RNA. The record is from the annotation of a RefSeq genome assembly. Lineage: Eukaryota; Metazoa; Chordata; Mammalia; Primates; Cheirogaleidae.
UCAAGAACAUUGUUUAGGCGACACUCAAAAGAUGAACUCUUCUCCAGGCUUAGUGACUGUGAUACUCUUACUACUUGGAAGAACCCAUGGAGACUCAGUAACCCAGACGGAAGGCCAAGUGACCCUCUCAGAAAAGGCUUUCCUGCAUAUAAACUGCACUUACACAGCCAGAGGGUACCCUUUCCUUUUCUGGUAUGUCCAAUAUCCAGGCGAAGGUCCACAGCUCCUCCUGAAAGCCGCGACAGCCAAUGAUAAAGGAAUGAACAAAGGUUUUGAAGCCACAUACAAGAAAGAAACCACCUCCUUCCACUUGGAGAAAGCCUCCGUCCACGAGUCAGAUUCAGCUGUGUACUACUGUGCUAUGAGUGACACAGUGACAGGAACCACUGGGGGAGCUGAGCACAAACUCCAAGCAGCACCUGGGGCCUGGCUGCUGAGUGUCUGCCUCUGUGAUCCAAUCUGGUUUCAGCAGGGCUUGUGGCUGUUUGCCCCUCAGUUUUUCUAG